GGAGCCGGCCAGACAGUCGCGUCAUCGAGCGAUCGGUGCCGAGGAAAGUCCGGGCUCCACAGGGCACGGUGCCAGGUAACGCCUGGGCGGCGCGAGCCGACGGAAAGUGCAACAGAAAGAUACCGCCUAUGUCGGAGCAAUCCGGCAGGCAAGGGUGAAAUGGUGCGGUAAGAGCGCACCGCGAGCCUGGCAACAGGCCGGCACGGCAAACCCCACCGGGAGCAAGGCCAAAUAGGGACCUCAUGACGUUGCCCGCGUCGGGUCCGGGUAGGUUGCUUGAGCGUACGGGUGACCGUGCGCCUAGAGGAAUGAUUGUCGCGGCGCGCAAGCGCCGAACAGAACCCGGCUUAUCGGCCGGCUCCGCCA
RNAcentral lists this RNase P RNA (366 nucleotides) under Thermomonas aquatica. RNAcentral's name for it is "Thermomonas sp. SY21 RNase P RNA component class A". It matches the Rfam family "Bacterial RNase P class A". Rfam says of the family: Ribonuclease P (RNase P) is a ubiquitous endoribonuclease, found in archaea, bacteria and eukarya as well as chloroplasts and mitochondria. Its best characterised activity is the generation of mature 5'-ends of tRNAs by cleaving the 5'-leader elements of precursor-tRNAs. The record is from RNAcentral. Lineage: Bacteria; Pseudomonadati; Pseudomonadota; Gammaproteobacteria; Lysobacterales; Lysobacteraceae.